CUACGGGUGGCACCAGUGAGGAAUUUUGCGCAAUGGGGGAAACCCUGACGCAGCAACGCCGCGUGAGCGAAGAAGGCCCUCGGGUCGUAAAGCUCUGUCAAGUGGGAAAAAAAUUUUUUGAUCAAUAGUCAAAAGACUUGAUGGUACCGCUGGAGGAAGCACCGGCUAACUCCGUGCCAGCAGCCGCGGUAAUACGGAGGGUGCGAGCGUUGUUCGGAUUUACUGGGCGUAAAGAGCGUGUAGGCGGUUUAGCAAGUCAGAUGUGAAAGCCCUGGGCUCAACCCGGGAAGUGCAUUUGAAACUGCUUCACUAGAGUAUGGGAGAGGAGAUUGGAAUUCCUGGUGUAGAGGUGAAAUUCGUAGAUAUCAGGAGGAACACCCGUGGCGAAGGCGAUUCUCUGGACCAAUACUGACGCUGAGACGCGAAAGCGUGGGGAGCAAGCAGGAUUAGAUACCCGGGUAGUC
Molecule: ribosomal RNA, 464 nt
Filed under: uncultured bacterium
Lineage: Bacteria
Description: partial 16S ribosomal RNA
Rfam family: Bacterial small subunit ribosomal RNA
Source: RNAcentral